This 1177-nucleotide ribosomal RNA is filed under the name human gut metagenome. RNAcentral describes it as "bacterial SSU rRNA". It matches the Rfam family "Bacterial small subunit ribosomal RNA", at positions 133 to 1315 of the family's 1533-position model. The record is from RNAcentral.
AUACCGGGGUAUAGCCCAUGGAAACGUGGAUUAACACCCCAUAGUACUUUUAUCCUGCAUGGGAUGUGAGUUAAAUGUUCAAGGUAUCGGAUGGGCAUGCGUCCUAUUAGUUAGUUGGCGGGGUAACAGCCCACCAAGACGAUGAUAGGUAGGGGUUCUGAGAGGAAGGUCCCCCACAUUGGAACUGAGACACGGUCCAAACUCCUACGGGAGGCAGCAGUGAGGAAUAUUGGUCAAUGGACGAGAGUCUGAACCAGCCAAGUCGCGUGAGGGAAGACUGCCCUAUGGGUUGUAAACCUCUUUUAUAAGGGAAGAAUAAGUUCUACGUGUAGAAUGAUGCCUGUACCUUAUGAAUAAGCAUCGGCUAACUCCGUGCCAGCAGCCGCGGUAAUACGGAGGAUGCGAGCGUUAUCCGGAUUUAUUGGGUUUAAAGGGUGCGUAGGCGGUUUAUUAAGUUAGUGGUUAAAUAUUUGAGCUAAACUCAAUUGUGCCAUUAAUACUGGUAAACUGGAGUACAGACGAGGUAGGCGGAAUAAGUUAAGUAGCGGUGAAAUGCAUAGAUAUAACUUAGAACUCCGAUAGCGAAGGCAGCUUACCAGACUGUAACUGACGCUGAUGCACGAGAGCGUGGGUAGCGAACAGGAUUAGAUACCCUGGUAGUCCACGCCGUAAACGAUGCUCACUGGUUCUGUGCGAUAUAUUGUACGGGAUUAAGCGAAAGUAUUAAGUGAGCCACCUGGGGAGUACGUCGGCAACGAUGAAACUCAAAGGAAUUGACGGGGGCCCGCACAAGCGGAGGAACAUGUGGUUUAAUUCGAUGAUACGCGAGGAACCUUACCUGGGUUUAAAUGGGAAAUGUCGUAUUUGGAAACAGAUAUUCUCUUCGGAGCGUUUUUCAAGGUGCUGCAUGGUUGUCGUCAGCUCGUGCCGUGAGGUGUCGGGUUAAGUCCCAUAACGAGCGCAACCCUUACCGUUAGUUGCUAGCAUGUAAUGAUGAGCACUCUAACGGGACUGCCACCGUAAGGUGAGAGGAAGGCGGGGAUGACGUCAAAUCAGCACGGCCCUUACACCCAGGGCUACACACGUGUUACAAUGGCCGGUACAGAGGGCCGCUACCAGGUGACUGGAUGCCAAUCUCAAAAGCCGGUCGUAGUUCGGAUUGGAGUCUGUAACCCGA